ACGGAGGUUGCAAGCGUUGUUCGGAAUAACUGGGCGUAAAGGGAGCGCAGGCGGUUAGGUGAGUUCAAAGUGAAAGCCCGGGGCUUAACCUCCGAAAGGAUUUGGAAACUGACUUACUCGAGUGCGUGAGAGGAAAGCGGAAUUCCAGGUGUAGCGGUGAAAUGCGUAGAUAUCUGGAGGAACACCGGUGGCGAAGGCGGCUUUCUGGCGUGAUACUGACGCUGAGGCGCGAAAGCAUGGGUAGCGAACAG
RNAcentral lists this ribosomal RNA (251 nucleotides) under uncultured prokaryote. Its description in RNAcentral is "partial 16S rRNA". It matches the Rfam family "Bacterial small subunit ribosomal RNA", at positions 525 to 775 of the family's 1533-position model. The record is from RNAcentral.